RNAcentral lists this long non-coding RNA (917 nucleotides) under Ursus maritimus (polar bear). RNAcentral describes it as "lncRNA (ENSUMAG00000015914.1)". The record is from RNAcentral. Lineage: Eukaryota; Metazoa; Chordata; Mammalia; Carnivora; Ursidae.
AAAUGCAGGGCUCCAUUUGUAUAUGGACAGCUUUUGUAAAGGAGUUUAAGCUAAGGAGAAAGGUAAUUGAGAAGGUGAGCGAAAGAAAGACCUAUUGAAGCAGGGAUAUUUGGGGGUUGGAGGCAUUUCUGUAGUGUUUUUGUGUUAUUCAUAGCCUUUCUCCUCAAGGGGAGCACACUUGGCCCUGACAGCAGGCCAGAGCUCAUCUGGUUACACUUCUUUCCCUGCCUUGUAGGAGAUUAUAUGGGAAGGAACUCCUCCAAGUCAGGGAUAAGUGAUUUGUUUCCUCUGUCUGUUAGGUUCUUAGCAUCCCUGAGCUGGAGGAAACUUCGAGACCACAGAGUCACAUGCUGCCCUUUACAGGGAGGACGAUGCUGUGCCUGGGUGUCUGCACCAGGAAGGGGUGAAGUUAGACUGGUGUUUCUGGAGCCGUCGUGGACGCCGGAAGGAAGGAUGGUGUGCUCUUCAGACUCCUGCUGGGCCUCUAGCUGUGAAAAAGGAACCUGGAAUUGUUCCCCAGGAAGCUCCUCUUUCCAAACCCGAGAGAUGAGGAACGUUGCUGUGCACAAGGACAUGCCUGGUGUUUCUUUGGUCUUCUCCUGUGCCACUCAGAGUGCCACUGAAACAGUGACCUUCCAGGAGUUCAGCCAGGUCAGUUCACACCCUCUUUGAAAACUCUGGCAAAACGCCAAACUCCCAUCCACGACACACAACGAUUUGUACGCGAUCGUGCCAUGCCCCCAUCUCCCACCUCCUCUCAGACCACAGCUCUCUCUCAUUGCCAUCCUGGAGCUACAUUGGUCUUUUUUCCGUUCCUCUCAUACGCCUUAGGACGGGCAUGCUGUUCCCUCUGCCUGGGCUCCUUGGGCCUCACUGUUCACAUGGUGGUUCUGCCUGACUCCUCUAGUAGACAUUUG